ACAGCUGAAUGAUAGUCGGGCUGAAGACUCUACUUGACUAGCUGAGAGAGGUGCAUGGGCCGUCGUCAGUUCGUACUGUGAAGCAUCCUGUUAAGUCAGGCAACGAGCGAGACCCACGCCAACAGUUGCCAGCUCGUCCUCCGGGAUGGUGGGGACACUGUUGGGACCGCCUCUGCUAAAGAGGAGGAAGGAAUGGGCAACGGUAGGUCAGCAUGCCCCGAAUUAUCUGGGCUACACGCGGGCUACAAUGGGUGGGACAAUGGGUAUCGACACCGAAAGGUGAAGGCAAUCUCCUAAACCCAUCCGUAGUUCGGAUUGUGGGCUGCAACUCGCCCACAUGAAGCUGGAAUCUGUAGUAAUCGUGUCUCAAAAUGGCACGGUGAAUAUGUCCCUGCUCCUU
Molecule: ribosomal RNA, 400 nt
Filed under: uncultured Methanomicrobiales archaeon
Lineage: Archaea; Methanobacteriati; Methanobacteriota; Methanomicrobia; Methanomicrobiales
Description: bacterial SSU rRNA
Rfam family: Archaeal small subunit ribosomal RNA
Source: RNAcentral